RNAcentral lists this non-coding RNA (23 nucleotides) under Cricetulus griseus (Chinese hamster). Lineage: Eukaryota; Metazoa; Chordata; Mammalia; Rodentia; Cricetidae. The record is from RNAcentral.
AAGUAAAUACAAGCUCAAAACUG